Long non-coding RNA from Lontra canadensis (Northern American river otter), 235 nucleotides. RefSeq lists it as uncharacterized. The transcript is spliced from 4 exons. The record is from RefSeq and is a predicted model, not a curated record. NCBI's taxonomy places the organism in Eukaryota, Metazoa, Chordata, Mammalia, Carnivora, Mustelidae.
UUGGAGUGCUGCUUUGCCCCCCUCGGGGCUGCCGGGCUCCCUCCCCGACACCCGGGGAGGCGAUGGCCCCGGCUUCCUGCGAGCCCCUGGUCCCCGCAGGCGUGUCCGCAGCGCCGCGAGGGUUUCUUAAGAUGUCCACCGGAGUGUUAACCGUUGAAUAAAGCGUGAUUAUUCUGGAAGCCUAGCUGGGGUCGUGCCCUUUCAGAUUAGGCACCGGUCUGCUGGCCGAAGGGCU